GAUUUAUCAUUGUUAUAAAAGACGUGCACUUUGAUUCUGUGAUCAAAGAGUCAAUCAACGGAGAUGAUCUAAUGGGGACCCCGAUCUGGCGGUGGGAAGCUACUGAUUGAGUUUUUGCUUGGACGGCUGAGAGAAACUCACGGUAUUGUUAAGCGUCUCGGUGUGCGGGGACCAAAUAUAAUGUGUUUUAUUCCCAACAUAAAACCAAUACUAAUAACAAGCCAGUUUCAUCGAGUUUCCUGCAACUUUUGAUCUUCUUCGACGCCCUAAUUUUCGAUGUUCGUUAACAGAUAAUCAGAAUUCACGGAUAGCGUAAUCAUCAAUUAAACCUUUGGAUUGUUGAUUCUCACUGGGUUGUAAUAAGGUUUGUAAUAUUAUUGCAAUUUAGGGUAUUAGCUUUUAGGCAAAAUCAUUGUUUUCUCUAUGGGUUUUUCUGGGCUUACCAAAUUCUAGGGUUUUUACGUUUUCGUCUUAGUCAUCAACUGUUGCUGGAGUUGAUGUCAAUCCUCCUCCACCAUCUGCAACAACAACCAUCUCCGAUUUGAUUCAUGCCAAAGUAACAACAGGAAAUGGCAAUUCAAUGAUGAAGGAGCUUUAAUUGAGGUAUUCCGUGCACCUGUUCAGAUAUAGAAUUAGAACUUCUCAUCUGUAAUUCUUAUAUGUUGGCGUUCAUGAGUUCCUCUUAUUAGUUUUUUUCUACUUGACGGGUAUCAGAAGCUCCAACAACCCUCUAUGUAUCAGUAGUGAAUAUCUUAAAAACAAGACUAUGAUAGAAGUUUCAAUAAACCUCUAUGGUUACUUCCCUUAUUGUAUGGUCCUUUAUGUUAUUUCAAAAGCAUACUUUUCAGUAUAUGUUUCAUUUAACAUGCUUUAAAUUUCUUUUGGUUACCCCUUUAAUUAAUCAUAUUCUGCUGUCCAUCGUUACUAUUUUAGGAAUGAACAUGUGUGUGAUUUAAACAUCUCAGUCGGGUAAUUUUCAAUCUCUGUACAUUUAUUUUGUCAAUUUACUUGGGUUGGUAUGUAUCUUUCUCAAGCUUAUGUCGUAUUUCUCGGAAGGAUAUCAGUGUGUUUUAUUCGUCUACAUUAGUCGAUAAAUAAGUUAUUGUUGCUGGAACACUAACUUUCAGGCAUUUGAUUUUAUUAGAUAUCUAUCAAUGUCUAUCAUUUCCAUAUACUCAUUCACAAUGAGAAAGGACGGAUUGACACCUGUAAGUGGAAUCCUAUGAAGAACUAUCACUACUAACUGAAUUGGAUUAGUCUUAAUGUGUCUAAUUUUCACUUCGGCAGUGGUAAGAGUAAUUAGGUAUAUGACUACUAACCCAAUUUCAGUUAGACCAUAUCAGCAUCACCAACUGUAUAGUUUUUGAGAGUUCCGCUCAACCUCAAAGUGCAAGAGGUAUGUUGAUUUGAAUUACUACUUUUGUCUUAUUACUCUAAUAUUGUAUGCCUCAACUGCCCUAUUGUCCAGAAAAUAAACUGACUACCCAUCUGUGGACAAGAUCAUUGGGGACAAGAGGUAUGUUGAUUUGAAUUACUACUUUUGUCCAUGUUACUCUAAUAUUUUAUGCCUCAACUGCCUUAUUGUCCAGAAAAUAAACUGACUACCCAUCUGUGGAUAGGAUCAUUGGGGAUCUUGAAGCUCCAUUAUAGAUAAACCUCAAAUAGAAUCAAGAUAUUUUGUUUAACUGGAAAAAUGACCUUAGUUUUACACUUUUACUCAUUUGAGUUUUAUAACUGUAGAGUCACAUGAUUUUUCACUCUUUUUUUGUAUUUAUCCUAUAUGUUGCUCUUAUAGCAAUAAUACAUACUCAGACCCCUUCCAACAUAAGUAAUCUUAGAUUUUUAAAGUUGAUGUUUCAGAGGUUCUGUGAUGGAUCCCUUGAAAGCAUAUACGACUAUGAAAUACUUAUCAAGUAGAGGAAAAACACGAUACCUUACGAUUAGUGAAACAAACUUUAUUGAGGUACUGCAUAUUCUUAGUUAAUAUAUCUUUGUAACGGUAAUCGUAUUGAUAACCAAAUUGUUUUCCGAAAUAUGAUUUUAUAACUAGCAUAUUAGACUGCAUGUUUAACAAGGUGGUAAUGUUAUCAGAGGGAUGCCCUGUCUACUAUGGACCUGCAUCAACUUCCUUGGAUUAUAUCUCUUUAAUUGGAUUUCCACUUCUGUCAUUGUCAACCCAGCUAACCUUUUAAUUGAUCUCCCAAAUGGUACAUAGUCUUUUCUCACCUUUGCAAUUGUCUCAUGUCUUCUCAUGAAAAGAACAUACCUACAAGGAUGAAGGCUGAGCUCAGUGGUGUUGUCAACAUCAACCAUCAAUAACUCUUGAUAUUUGUCUGCUCGCUACUGUUGAUAUACUCAACUGUUAGUAGUGUAUACGAUUCUUCAUUUGCUUUGCAUCUGUUCUAGUUUUCAUCCCCUCCAAAUUGAUUUACAGAUUUUGGUUCACGGAAUCAUCAAAAUAGAAUGGUUGAUCUGUAUUUGAUUAUUCUGAAGAGUGACUUUUGAUGCGACUGGAUGAUGCAGGGAACACGGUGAAGUCAGAGACUUGGAAGAGUGGGGACUAAUGGUGGUCUGAGUAUGUCAUAUUAAGCUAACUCUACACUGUUAAUCUAUUUUGGGUGAACCCUUUUUAAAUUGCUGUGUUAUUUACUGUGCAAGAUUUUAGAUCAAAUGAACCAUCAUAACCGGUUGCCUAGCAUGUCAAUUAGGGAUAUACGAUGUACAGGGUUCAGGGUCCUAGACUAUAAAAAUUCGAAAUUUUUUGAGUCUUUGAUAGCACAACACUUCACGGAUGGCGUUAUAUUUAUCUCUGGAGAAAAGUUUUUGAUAUUGCUGUUAGAGGAGAUCUAUUGGGAAUUGAUGAUCAGGAGUUUGCUAACAUGGUUAAUAAUGGAAAAGUCGCAGACAUAUAAAGAACAAAGUAUUUAUCACUCAUUGGCUUCUCAGGUACUGAGAUGAUAAGGUUAAGAUGUUUCCGGCAACUUAAAUGGAAAACACUUGCUCCAAGUUUUCUUUUACUGAUUUUGAUGACAUGCAAGCAAUUAACAAUACUUAUUUUACUUUAGCGGGAUUCUAUCACGACGAGAUCAAGAUCUUCUAGAAGUUUCUUUACAGGGGAAACUUGGUUAGAGAAGAGUUUGAGAAGCCUUAACGGUUAGCUAGCUGACAAGUACGUGUUUCCAUAGUUACAGAAGUUUCAUGGGCAAUGGAUUUUAAGAUUAUUGUUUUUGUCAAAUGCACUAAAGGUUCUAAAGAUCUUAAAAAGAAAGUUGACCGAGAUAUUAAAGCUUAAUAAUUUUAAAAAAAUCUGCAAAGCAGAACCAACACUUCAUAGUACAUAUGAAAAAAAAAAAAAAAAAAAAAAUUCUUUAUAGUACAUACUACAAAGAACCCGAUCAGUUAUUUCGGU
Papaver somniferum (opium poppy) is the source of this 3409-nucleotide long non-coding RNA. RefSeq lists it as uncharacterized. The transcript has 2 exons. The record is from RefSeq and is a predicted model, not a curated record. NCBI's taxonomy places the organism in Eukaryota, Viridiplantae, Streptophyta, Magnoliopsida, Ranunculales, Papaveraceae.